Molecule: unclassified non-coding RNA, 336 nt
Filed under: soil metagenome
Description: partial contains 5.8S ribosomal RNA, internal transcribed spacer 2, and large subunit ribosomal RNA
Rfam family: 5.8S ribosomal RNA (bases 1-120)
Source: RNAcentral
GAUGAAGAACGUAGUGAAAUGCGAUAAGUAAUGUGAAUUGCAGAAUUCAGUGAAUCAUCGAAUCUUUGAACGCACAUUGCGCCCGCCAGUAUUCUGGCGGGCAUGCCUGUUCGAGCGUCACUUCAACCAUCAAGCCCCAGGCUUGUGUUGGGGACCUGCGGCUGCCGCAGGCCCUGAAAACCAGUGGCGGGCUCGCUGUCACACCGGGCGUAGUAGAUUUUAUCUCGCUCAGGGCGUGCUGCGGGUUCCGGCCGUUAAAAAGCCUUUUUUACCCAAGGUUGACCUCGGAUCAGGUAGGAAGACCCGCUGAACUUAAGCAUAUCAAUAAGCGGAGGA